CAAUAGCGUAUAUUAAAGUUGUUGCGGUUAAAAAGCUCGUAGUUGGAUUUCUGCCGAGGACGACCGGUCCGCCCUCUGGGUGAGUAUCUGGCUCGGCCUGGGCAUCAUCUUGGAGAACGUAGCUGCACUUGACUGUGUGGUGCGGUAUCCAGGACUUUUACUUUGAGGAAAUUAGAGUGUUUCAAGCAGGCUUACGCCUUGAAUACAUUAGCAUGGAAUAAUAAGAUAGGACCUCGGUUCUAUUUUGUUGGUUUCUAGAGCUGAGGUAAUGAUUAAUAGGGAUAGUUGGGGGCAUUCGUAUUUAACUGUCAGAGGUGAAAUUCUUGGAUUGUGUUACGACGAACUACUGCGAAAGCAUUUGCCAAGGAUGUUUNCAUUGA
This 380-nucleotide ribosomal RNA is filed under the name uncultured eukaryote. RNAcentral describes it as "partial 18S ribosomal RNA". It matches the Rfam family "Eukaryotic small subunit ribosomal RNA", at positions 592 to 976 of the family's 1831-position model. The record is from RNAcentral.